UACGGGGGGAGCAAGCGUUGUUCGGAUUUACUGGGCGUAAAGGGUGCGUAGGUGGCGCGGUAAGUCGGGUGUGAAAUCUCGGAGCUUAACUCCGAAAUUGCAUUCGAUACUGCCGUGCUCGAGGACUGGAGAGGAGACUGGAAUUCAUGGUGUAGCAGUGAAAUGCGUAGAGAUCAUGAGGAAGACCAGUGGCGAAGGCGGGUCUCUGGACAGUUCCUGACACUGAGGCACGAAGGCCAGGGGAGCAAACGGG
This 253-nucleotide ribosomal RNA is filed under the name uncultured bacterium. RNAcentral's name for it is "partial 16S ribosomal RNA". It matches the Rfam family "Bacterial small subunit ribosomal RNA", at positions 524 to 776 of the family's 1533-position model. The record is from RNAcentral.